RNAcentral lists this ribosomal RNA (440 nucleotides) under uncultured bacterium. RNAcentral describes it as "bacterial SSU rRNA". It matches the Rfam family "Bacterial small subunit ribosomal RNA", at positions 338 to 795 of the family's 1533-position model. The record is from RNAcentral.
CCUACGGGCCGCAGCAGUGGGGAAUAUUGGACAAUGGGCGAAAGCCUGAUCCAGCAAUGCCGCGUGUGUGAAGAAGGUCUUCGGAUUGUAAAGCACUUUCGACGGGGACGAUGAUGACGGUACCCGUAGAAGAAGCCCCGGCUAACUUCGUGCCAGCAGCCGCGGUUAUACGAAGGGGGCUAGCGUUGCUCGGAAUGACUGGGCGUAAAGGGCACGUAGGCGGUUUAUGCAGUCAGAUGUGAAAUCCCCGGGCUUAACCUGGGAACUGCAUUUGAGACGCAUAGACUAGAGGUCGAGAGAGUGUUGUGGAAUUCCCAGUGUAGAGGUGAAAUUCGUAGAUAUUGGGAAGAACACCGGUGGCGAAGGCUGCAACCUGGCUCGAUACUGACGCUGAGGCGCGAAAGCGUGGGGAGCAAACAGGAUUAGAUACCCCAGUAGUC